This 440-nucleotide ribosomal RNA is filed under the name uncultured bacterium. RNAcentral's name for it is "bacterial SSU rRNA". It matches the Rfam family "Bacterial small subunit ribosomal RNA", at positions 338 to 795 of the family's 1533-position model. The record is from RNAcentral.
CCUACGGGAGGCUGCAGUGGGGAAUCUUGCACAAUGGGCGAAAGCCUGAUGCAGCCAUGCCGCGUGAGUGAAGAAGGCCUUAGGGUUGUAAAGCUCUUUCAGCGGGGAAGAUAAUGACGGUACCCGCAGAAGAAGCCCCGGCUAACUCCGUGCCAGCAGCCGCGGUAAUACGGAGGGGGCUAGCGUUGUUCGGAAUCACUGGGCGUAAAGCGCACGUAGGCGGGUCAGUAAGUCAGGGGUGAAAUCCCGAGGCUCAACCUCGGAACUGCCUUUGAGACUGCUGACCUGGAGGUCGAGAGAGGUGAGUGGAAUUCCUAGUGUAGAGGUGAAAUUCGUAGAUAUUAGGAAGAACACCAGUGGCGAAGGCGGCUCACUGGCUCGAUUCUGACGCUGAGGUGCGAAAGCGUGGGGAGCAAACAGGAUUAGAUACCCUUGUAGUC